RNAcentral lists this long non-coding RNA (2196 nucleotides) under Mus musculus (house mouse). RNAcentral's name for it is "long non-coding RNA chr16:20644326-20646522". The record is from RNAcentral. Lineage: Eukaryota; Metazoa; Chordata; Mammalia; Rodentia; Muridae.
UGUUAUUCACCCAGGCUUACAAAGCAUGGCUGAGAAAGCAUGGGGAGGAGCAGCCGCUGCCUGCUGUGGGGCUCACCAAUCACCAGCUUUUCUUCGUGGGAUUUGCUCAGGUAUGGCCCCUUGGGAGAACUCCCUCCAAAGGAAGGAUGCCUUUAGAAGAAGUUGGGGUCAUGCAGGAAAGGUGUUGGGGAAGUGUACUGAGAGAAAGCGUGGUGUCCAGAGCCCAUGAAGGUAGACUUGAGGACAGGGGAAUUUUCUAUAGGAUUUUACUUGAAAGAGAAGGACUGCUGGCUUGAGUGGAAUGGAUGGGGAAAAAAGCAUUGAUUCCCUCCUGUUACUAUGGAGGAAUGUGGAGAAAGAAACUAUAGCUGGGGAAUGCAAAACGGCUUGUUAAGGGUUACCCAGGAAUAAAAUAGGUAGCAGAGUUAGCACCCAGGCAGGGCCUCUAAGUACUUUACACCACAGAAAGCAGCCUUAAAGGGCUCAGGCUUUUCCCACAGCCUUGCCCAUGCUGGGUUACCCACGUGCACUUUAAAGGCUUCAAGGGUCUGAGGAGGCAUGUUCCUCUCUCUUGGAGCUGGCUAAGUCUCCUGCAAUGGCCCCGACAACUCCUGAACUCACCAGCUGGGCAGUGGUGGUUCCUGACCAAGAUGGCUCUGCUGUAGCUGAAGCUAUGGCCUAGCUCCGCUCCACACUAGACACCAUAUGUCCCCAUGUCUGUCCUGGCCCGCAGGUGUGGUGCUCGGUCCGCACACCAGAGAGCUCUCACGAGGGGCUGGUGACCGACCCCCACAGCCCUGCCCGUUUCCGAGUGCUGGGCACUCUCUCCAACUCCCGAGACUUCCUUCGGCACUUCGGCUGCCCUGUCGGCUCCCCCAUGAACCCAGGGCAGCUAUGUGAGGUGUGGUAGACCUGGGUGGGGAAAGAAAUGGGCAACUGUGGCCAGGGACUGGGGCUUCCAAGUUAGGAGAGAGUGAAGAUCAGCUGGUAUGGUUGUCUCUCCACACUGCAAGUGAGAUCAAUCUAGACCCCACCACCACCACCACAUUGUGCCUCUGCUUUAGGGGUGCCUGAGCCUCUAGCAGAGAUUCCACCAUUCACUGUGACAUCCUUUCAUGUGUCACCCUGGAGGGAGUCUAGGCAGAAGUGUCAGUUCCCACAGAGAUGAGUCUGUCUCUUUUGGACUCCAAGCUUACUCAGUUUAGGGGAUCAAGAGGAUAUGCCUGGGGCAUGGCCAUCUCUCCCCAGGGUAUACUGAGUGCUCUAUGAGAUGAGUUCAGCUCCCUUCAGCCCACCCUCAGGCUUCCCCCCACCUAUGUUCCUUACGCUCCUCCUAGUACUGCUGCUCCCUUCAGGACAGACCAACUGAAGUCAUGUGGAAGGCCAAGGGCUCUCUCGGGUGAGAGGAGAAAUAUGUAUGUACAGUGGGUGCUCAAGGUGUGAGUCUUAGGGAUAACUGAUUGUCCCUGGGCCAAAUAGAAAAGCAGAUCGAGUAGAGAAAAGGAAAGAGUUUAUUUUUGCAGGGAAGAGGGUGGGGAGGGUGUGGUCUUGCCUUUAUAGGACCCGUUGCUAAUAAAUAGAUCUAUAUCAGCCAGCCUGUCUCUUCCUUCAGUUCUCUUUUUCCUUACUCAGCCUCUCAUCCCGCCAAUAUUUGAGCAGCUCCAAUAUACUAGUAAUUCUUUACAUACUGACUUACUCGAAGAACUAAGGGAAUGAGCUUUGAAGACCAAGGAGACAAAAGUGGAGAGAGAAGCAUAGUUGGGUCUGCAUGGUCAAAGUAAACGCUUCGCAGCUGGAAGGGUUUGCAGCUGUCCACUGCAUCUGUGGCCAGGGUAUCACUGAAUCUGGGGAGUAAGUGGGUAAGGUCAGCGUGGUUUUGUGUUUUGUUUGUUUGUUUGUUUGUUGUUUUGUUUGUUUUAUUGUUGUUUCCACAGGUCCUCACUAAAUAGUCCUGGUGGCCUGGAACUCACUAUGUAGAUCAGGCUAGCUUUGAACUCAAAGAUCUACUUAUCUCUGCCUCCAAACUUCGGGGUGUGCACCACUACACCCAACUUUUAUUGUUCUUUAAAUUUACUUUUGAUUUGAAUGAUAUACUGGCCACCAGCAAUUUGUGUUUCAAGCACUGAUGAUAAAAUGGCUUCUUUCCUUUGAUGACUCCAGCUAUUUCACUUUUUUAAAAAAAAUCUAUUUUAAUUU